This is a long non-coding RNA of Helianthus annuus (common sunflower), 543 nucleotides long. RefSeq lists it as uncharacterized. Lineage: Eukaryota; Viridiplantae; Streptophyta; Magnoliopsida; Asterales; Asteraceae. The record is from RefSeq and is a predicted model, not a curated record. The transcript has 2 exons.
AGGGACAUCCAUCUCCACCUACCUCCGAACCUAUCACGUCGGAGAUUACGUCGACAUCAAGGUCAACGCCGUUUACAAAGCCAUUGUCGUCGAGAUGAACAAACAGAAUUUGAGAAAAGUCACUGGAGUUUGGGACCUGCUUAAUUGUUGAUUUGUUUGGUUCAAGGAAAAUGAAAGUUAGAUUUAGGCAAACAGAGCUUGUAUGCACCUGGAUUCAAGGCAUGUGACCACUGGAAGUGAAAACCAUCUUGUAUGCACCUGGAUUCAAGGCAUUUAGAUUUAGGCAAACAGAGCUUGUAUGCAUCUUGGUUUAAGGAAAAUGAAAGUUAAAUUUAGUCAACAGAAAGUGAAAUUCAAUCAACAACAGAGGUCGCUGCGUUUUUUAUCAGUUUCCUGAUUUGUUCACCGCCGUUGAUAUCUAACAAAUUGUUGUCUUAGUUUCAUAGAAAAAGGGAUUUGGAUUUGGGGAUGAACCAGAACCACUUCCUUUUGUUUUAGUUAUUCAGUGAUUUGAUAAAUAAAAGAUUUAUUUUACUUUUUUAA